UACGGAGGGUGCAAGCGUUACUCGGAAUUAUUGGGCGUAAAGGGCGCGUAGGCGGCCUGUUAAGUCUAGUGUGAAAUCCCCGGACUCAAUUCGGGAACUGCACUAGAUACUGGCGGGCUAGAGUUCAGGAGGGGAGAGCGGAAUUCCUGGUGUAGAGGUGAAAUUCGCAGAUAUCAGGAGGAACAACAGUGGCGAAGGCGGCUCUCUGGACUGAUACUGACGCUGAGGCGCGAAAGCGUGGGGAGCAAACAGG
Molecule: ribosomal RNA, 253 nt
Filed under: uncultured bacterium
Lineage: Bacteria
Description: partial 16S ribosomal RNA
Rfam family: Bacterial small subunit ribosomal RNA
Source: RNAcentral